GAUGAACGCUGGCGGCGUGCCUAAUACAUGCCAGUCGAGCGAACAGACGCGGAACUUGCUCCACUGACGUUAGCGGCGGACGGGUGGGUAACACGUGGAUCACCUACCUAUGAGAAUGGGAUCACUUCGGGAAACCGGAGCUCAUACCGGCUAAUAUAUUAAACCGCAUGGUUCAAUAGUGAAAGACGGUUUUGCUGUCACUUAUAGAUGGAUCAGCGCGGCAGUAUCUAGUUGGUAAGGUCACGGCUCACCAAGGCAACGAUCUGUAGCCGGUCUGAGAGGAGGACCAGCCACAUUGGGACUGAGCCACGGCCCAGACUCCUACGGGAGGCAGCAGUGGGGAAUUUUGGGCAAUGGGCGCAAGCCUGAUCCAGCAAUGCCGCGUGAAGGAAGAAGGCCUUCGGGUUGUAAACUGCUUUUGUAAGGAACGAAACGGCUCUGGUUAAUACCCGGGGCUAAUGACGGUACCGUAAGAAUAAGCACCGGCUAACUACGUG
Molecule: ribosomal RNA, 497 nt
Filed under: uncultured bacterium
Lineage: Bacteria
Description: partial 16S ribosomal RNA
Rfam family: Bacterial small subunit ribosomal RNA
Source: RNAcentral